AACACUUGGAUUAGCUUACUAGCAGCAUGAAUCGGUGGUCGGCUGCAAACAUGUCUUCAUGUGACUCCAGCUUCAGAAGACACAAGAUUGAGAUGGAUUCAGUUCAUAUAUGAUGGCAACGUUCCUGCCACCACUUUGAAUCGGACUGUUUUAUCAACCUGGGCCAAUAUAACGCUGGAUUCUCUAAAAGGUUGUUAUUGAAAGAGGGGUCGGUGCCAUCUUUCCAUGGCAAUACUGAAGACGGGGGAAAUGCAAGCACAUCUGUUCACGGUGCUAGGCUACAUCACGUAGCAUGCCAGAGGGACCCACCGAAGAUGCGCACACAUGGAACGCAGCUUUCUAUGAAAACACUGCGACCUCACUACAAAAGUACAGGCACACAGAAAACUGUGCUGCACUGAUGUCGGUGUUGGGACCUCAGCUGUCAGAGACCUCGCUUGGAGGAGGGAGAGGACAAGAUGUGACAUUACAUGGAUAACCUGUGGGACCUCAUCUUUCACGUGGUUUUUCAGGACCUGGCCCCAUAUGUGAAUGAGGUGCUGAAGAUCUCAAAACCUGAGGAUCUCUCUGCCUAGUAUGAGAAACCUGACAAGCAGGAAGUUAUAGCCAGCUAUGUGUCGAGUUUCAAUCAAGGGCAGGUCUGAACCCUGUAUAACUUCCCUGAGCAUCAGGGAAGACUCUGCGUAUCUGGAGCACCGAGCAGGAGGGCAGGACCACCCUGAUUCUCCGGCCCAGAGGGCCCCAACACCAGCUCACAAAGCUUCUGUACGCCAAAUAACUGUAACGGCUGAGCAAAGUUCACAUUGUAUUUAGAGAAUAAAAGGUGACACACAAAUAUAAAGUGUUCCUUUGUUUACAGUAUAGCUACUGAUGGCACAAAUUGUAUUUUUGUAAUGAAUGUAUUUAUUAUACUUGGUAUUUUUUGUAUUUAUUACCUCUGUCCCAGCCAGUACAUUUAAUAACUAUGAUUAAAAAGCUCUGUGGCAAUCUUUCUAGCAAUCUUUCUGACAAUAAAAGUUUAUAGAAACA
Long non-coding RNA from Platichthys flesus (European flounder), 1029 nucleotides. RefSeq lists it as uncharacterized. Lineage: Eukaryota; Metazoa; Chordata; Actinopteri; Pleuronectiformes; Pleuronectidae. The record is from RefSeq and is a predicted model, not a curated record. The transcript has 4 exons.